This is a long non-coding RNA of Daucus carota subsp. sativus, 380 nucleotides long. RefSeq lists it as uncharacterized. The transcript has 3 exons. NCBI's taxonomy places the organism in Eukaryota, Viridiplantae, Streptophyta, Magnoliopsida, Apiales, Apiaceae. The record is from RefSeq and is a predicted model, not a curated record.
CCCGACCCAUUUUUAACCUACUUACCUUGAGUUUUGAAGCACGCCUCCUCUUGUUUCCUGUUGUUUGAAAAAAUCAGCUGCUAAUUAUCUGGGAGCUCAUCAGCGAGGCUGCGAAUCCGUUGAUUGGUGGGAUGCUUAUGGAGGUCGUGCAAUUGAGCUUCAAUCAUUUGCAAAGCGUAUUGUUGGUUUAUGUUGUUCAUCUUCCGGUUGUGAACGGAAUUGGAGUACAUUUGAAUUCAUACAUACAAAGAAGAGGAAUAGGUUGGAACAUCAACGUUUAAAUGAUUUGGUGUAUGUUCAAUACAACCGGAAGAUUGAUUCCCGAUUCAAAAAGAUGCGUGAACUUGGAGAAAAAUAUAAUCCACUAAUAUUUGAAGACU